This 198-nucleotide ribosomal RNA is filed under the name Blepsias bilobus (crested sculpin). RNAcentral's name for it is "partial 12S ribosomal RNA". It matches the Rfam family "Bacterial small subunit ribosomal RNA", at positions 1304 to 1533 of the family's 1533-position model. The record is from RNAcentral. Lineage: Eukaryota; Metazoa; Chordata; Actinopteri; Perciformes; Agonidae.
GUACUGAAACAUCCAUCUGAAGGAGGAUUUAGCAGUAAGCAGGAAAUAGAGCGUCCCGCUGAAACUGGCCCUGAAGCGCGCACACACCGCCCGUCACUCUCCCCAAAACCACUUAUACAAUUAAUUAAAACCUAAUGCUAAAAAGGGGAGGCAAGUCGUAACAUGGUAAGUGUACCGGAAGGUGCACUUGGAAAAAUC